Molecule: long non-coding RNA, 733 nt
Organism: Cannabis sativa
Lineage: Eukaryota; Viridiplantae; Streptophyta; Magnoliopsida; Rosales; Cannabaceae
Exons: 2
Source: RefSeq, a predicted model, not a curated record
UUGACUUGCGAUCCUAAGCUAACGGCGGCGAGAGGAGCGGCGCCGCUUGGGGUGUGAGGUCGCCGUCACUAGGAGGUCGGAGUAGUCCGGCGCGUGAGGUCGGGCGGUGGGCGGAGGUGGGUCGCCGGAGUGUGGUGGUUAUGGAGGUUUAUGGGUUUUAUUUUUGUAUUUUAAAGAGAGAGAAAGAGAGAAAGGUAGAUAGAAUGAGAGAGGGGGACGAAGGGGGUUCAGUAUAUAUUCAAAGUAAUAUUUUUUUUUAUUACAUACAUAUAUAUUAUUUUAUUAUUAUUUUAUAUAUAUAUAAAAGCACAUUUGACUCGGUCAAACCGAGUCUUUUCAGCUAAGGGUCCAGUUCAAAAGAAACAACAACAGGAUUCUAAGGGUUGUUUCUUUUGUGACCAACCUGGACAUGUGAAGAAAGAUUGUGCCAAAUAUCACGCAUGGCGUGUAAAGAAAGGGUUGCCUGAGCUACCGAAAGCCAAGUGAUGGUGAAAGAUACAUCUUUGUGGGCGAUGGUCAAUCGAUGGAAGUGGAAGCAAUUGGGCAUUUCAGAUUGUUAUUAGAAACUGGUUCUUAUUUGGAUUUGAAAGACACUUUUGUUGUGCCGUCUUUUAGGCGGAAUUUAGUUUCUGUUUCUUUGUUGGACAAAUUUGGAUAUUGUUGUUCAUUUGGAAACAAUCAGUUUACUUUGUCUUUAAAUUCAAAUAUUAUUGGAACUGGUUAUUUGAAUACU